This 1355-nucleotide ribosomal RNA is filed under the name uncultured Cyanobacterium sp. RNAcentral describes it as "bacterial SSU rRNA". It matches the Rfam family "Bacterial small subunit ribosomal RNA". Lineage: Bacteria; Bacillati; Cyanobacteriota; Cyanophyceae; Chroococcales; Geminocystaceae. The record is from RNAcentral.
AUGCAAGUCGACGAACCUUCGGGUUAGUGGCGGACGGGUGAGUAACGCGUGAGAAUCUGCCCUCAGGAGGGGGAUAACAGUUGGAAACGACUGCUAAUACCCCAUAUGCCGAGAGGUGAAACGAAUUUCGCCUGGGGAUGAGCUCGCGUCUGAUUAGCUUGUUGGUGGGGUAAUGGCUUACCAAGGCUUCGAUCAGUAGCUGGUCUGAGAGGACGAUCAGCCACACUGGGACUGAGACACGGCCCAGACUCCUACGGGAGGCAGCAGUGGGGAAUUUUCCGCAAUGGGCGCAAGCCUGACGGAGCAACGCCGCGUGAGGGAUGGAGGCCUUUGGGCUGUAAACCUCUUUUCUCAAGGAAGAAGAUCUGACGGUACUUGAGGAAUAAGCCACGGCUAAUUCCGUGCCAGCAGCCGCGGUAAUACGGGAGUGGCAAGCGUUAUCCGGAAUUAUUGGGCGUAAAGCGUCCGCAGGCGGCCGUUUAAGUCUGUUGUUAAAUCGUGGAGCUCAACUCCAUCACGGCAAUGGAAACUGUUCGGCUUGAGUAUGGUAGGGGCAGAGGGAAUUUCCGGUGUAGCGGUGAAAUGCGUAGAUAUCGGGAAGAACACCAGUGGCAAAAGCGCUCUGCUGGGCCAUUACUGACGCUCAUGGACGAAAGCCAGGGGAGCGAAAGGGAUUAGAUACCCCUGUAGUCCUGGCCGUAAACGAUGAACACUAGAUGUUGGGGGAAUCGACCCCCUCGGUGUCGUAGCUAACGCGUUAAGUGUUCCGCCUGGGGAGUACGCACGCAAGUGUGAAACUCAAAGGAAUUGACGGGGGCCCGCACAAGCGGUGGAGUAUGUGGUUUAAUUCGAUGCAACGCGAAGAACCUUACCAAGGCUUGACAUCCUGCGAAUCUCCAAGAAAUUGGAGAGUGCCUUUUGGAACGCAGUGACAGGUGGUGCAUGGCUGUCGUCAGCUCGUGUCGUGAGAUGUUGGGUUAAGUCCCGCAACGAGCGCAACCCACGUUUUUAGUUGCCAGCAUUCAGUUGGGCACUCUAGAAAGACUGCCGGUGACAAACCGGAGGAAGGUGUGGACGACGUCAAGUCAUCAUGCCCCUUACGCCUUGGGCUACACACGUACUACAAUGCUGCGGACAAAGAGUAGCGAUCUUGCGAAAGUUAGCUAAUCUCGUAAACCGUGGCUCAGUUCAGAUCGUAGGCUGCAACUCGCCUACGUGAAGGAGGAAUCGCUAGUAAUCGCAGGUCAGCAUACUGCGGUGAAUACGUUCCCGGGCCUUGUACACACCGCCCGUCACACCAUGGAAGUUGGCCAUGCCCGAAGUCGUUACUCUAACCUUUGGAAGAGGCGCCGAAG